RNAcentral lists this long non-coding RNA (854 nucleotides) under Mus musculus (house mouse). RNAcentral describes it as "long non-coding RNA chr7:17812681-17813535". Lineage: Eukaryota; Metazoa; Chordata; Mammalia; Rodentia; Muridae. The record is from RNAcentral.
AGGAGAGCAGAGCUUGGAAACAGCACGAGAGCUGAAGCUUUUCACAGAGGGUACACAGAGCAGGAGGCAGGUGGUAGAGGUCAUGAUGGACUGCGUUGCACUUUCCUGUAAAGUCUGUACCUCCUGGCAGGGGCUCCUGCUCACAGGUGAGGAGGCUACUCUUUAGCACUGAGUGGGAGAAGGGGAUCUCACAGCUUGUUGAAGUUCCUGAAGAAGUCAAGAACCUGGGGAUAGUCUUAGGGUUUUGGGAAGUAGACAUAGACAGGAACAGGAACUCUGCAACAGAAAGUGACACAAGAUAGUAUAAUGGAGAAAUAGCACCAUUGUUUUCUAUUGAAGUCAAUCGCAUGGACAACUGUAUUCUAAGGAUUGAUGUUCCCAACCAUGAGAGUGACUGUCCAAUUUAAAAAAAAAAUAGGAAGAUGAUUUAAUGGUCAUGCUGUUGGCUGCCAAUCCUAAGACAGCAAUUCAAUUCCCAACACAUACAAGGUGUGUGAUUUCCAUGUAUAUGCUGUGUAUGCAUUCACCUAUACACAAAUGCACAUGAGUGCACACAUAUAUAAACAUUCACCUUCCUCACACAUACAAACAAUACUAAAAUCUUGUACUAAAUGUUUCAUUAGCUUCAUAUUUCAGCAUUUUUCAGUGUACUCCUGGAUUGGAAUAUCCCUGGCACAUGCAUUCUCCAACUCAUCCAAAGGUAUCCAAGCCUUUAUCAGUUCUGGACUUUCCAAAGAUAUCAGGCUCAUCUUGUUUCUAAUAAAUCUCUAGACUAAUGGAAUAUAAGUUAGACCAGAAAGAACAUCUAGAAGUAGAAUCAGAGAAUUCAGACCAAAGAGAGAAAACAAAAAAUC